AGCCAUUAGCCAAACAAGUAUUAAAGGUAAUGCCUGCCCAGUGAGGACCCCACCCUUAAACGGCCGCGAUAAUCCGUGCGAAGGUAGCGCAAUCACUUGUCUCCCAAAUAGAGACCCGUAUGAAUGGCCACAUGAGAAAGAAGCUGUCUCUUGAAAAUAGCCAAUGAACCUGAUCUACCUGUACAAAAGCAGGAAUAACAUAACAAGACAAAAAGACCCUGUGAAACUUUAAAUUAAACAUCAACCAAGUGAUGCUAACUUUUAGUUGGGGCAACUACAGAGAAAAUAAACCUCUGCAAAGAUUACCAAACCAACUGGUUAGGUAAAUAACACAACCCGAUCCAGUAAUACUGAUAAAUGAACCAAGCUACUCCAGGGAUAACAGCGCCACAUUCUUGAAGAGUCCAUAUCAACAAGAAUACCUACGACCUCGAUGUUGGAUCAGGGUACCCUAACGGUGCAGAAGCUGUUAAAGGUUCGUUUGUUCAACGAUUAAUAUCCU
RNAcentral lists this ribosomal RNA (502 nucleotides) under Laudakia nupta. Its description in RNAcentral is "partial 16S ribosomal RNA". It matches the Rfam family "Bacterial large subunit ribosomal RNA", at positions 1817 to 2597 of the family's 2925-position model. Lineage: Eukaryota; Metazoa; Chordata; Lepidosauria; Squamata; Agamidae. The record is from RNAcentral.